This 333-nucleotide ribosomal RNA is filed under the name uncultured Ruminococcus sp. Its description in RNAcentral is "bacterial SSU rRNA". It matches the Rfam family "Bacterial small subunit ribosomal RNA", at positions 8 to 339 of the family's 1533-position model. The record is from RNAcentral. Lineage: Bacteria; Bacillati; Bacillota; Clostridia; Eubacteriales; Oscillospiraceae.
AGAGUUUGAUCAGUGGCUCAGGACGAACGCUGGCGGCACGCUUAACACAUGCAAGUCGAACGGUGAAGUAGAGCUUGCUCUGCGGAUCAGUGGCGGACGGGUGAGUAACACGUGAGCAAUCUGCCUUUAAGAGGGGAAUAGCAACUGGAAACGGUUGGUAAUACCGCAUAAUAUACAUUUACCGCAUGAUAGAUGUAUCAAAGAUUUAUCGCUUAAAGAUGAGCUCGCGUCUGAUUAGCUAGUUGGUGAGGUAACGGCCCACCAAGGCGACGAUCAGUAGCCGGACUGAGAGGUUGAACGGCCACAUUGGGACUGAGACACGGCCCAGACUCC